Molecule: long non-coding RNA, 2376 nt
Filed under: Dicentrarchus labrax (European seabass)
Lineage: Eukaryota; Metazoa; Chordata; Actinopteri; Moronidae
Description: lncRNA (ENSDLAG00005030886.1)
Source: RNAcentral
AAAAAUGUUUUUACUAUAUCGUCAUUCAGUAAACAAGCAGUUCAACAAGUGCCUCUGCAGCUCUUGCAUUUUCUCAAACUGUGGGACAAAUUCAACACAACAGCAGGAAGGCUUCGACAUGUUGGCUCUGUCAGAGACGCCCGUCAGCUGAGCCUCCUCAAGCUCCCUCCGUCUUUUUUUAUCCUUUUCUCCAUCCUGCUCAGCGUGGGGUCUGUGCAUCCGUCAGGCGCUGUGCGGGAAACAGUGGGACUGGAGCUUUGUGAUUGUUGUAAUUUUCAUCUCACCCUCUCUCCCUCCCGCCCUCCCCUUCCCUCUUGUCCGCAGCCACCUGCCUUUUUUCCUCCAGCUGCUGAUGCUGCUCGCCUCUCAGGGGGGUCAGCGGGUUUCAUCGGCUCUUGCUGGAUCGCCAUGGCAACCGCAUACUUGGAGCAGUGUGCAGCCACUGUAGAGCGCUCGGGGACCAGCUCCAGAUCUCAGCUCCAGAUCUCAGCUCCAGAUCUCAGCCAAUGCCUCGAUCAAGAGCACCAACUGGAGAGAUGAACCUGAUACACAUAUUCUGAUGUGGGAAAGCCAAACUGAAUACUGUUCACCUCCCAACCGCGUAGGAGAAACUGCUGUUCCUCUGCUCAUCAGAGUUUGUUACUUCCAAUUCAAAAUGGCCGACUUCCUGUUGGGUUUGGGUCCAAGAGGCUUUUUUGUACGUGUGGAGAUGAUCUAUGUGUGUACAUGUAUCUGUGAAACAUGCCUAUAGUGCUGGUCGAGCCAUUUUGCCACGCCCAUGUGCGAGACCCAUAUCAUGCGUUCAUUUUCACCACCGCUGAUGUGUGUGCUGUGUUUCUUGGGUUUUGCAGGAUGUAGUUUUCCUGCUGUUACAGCCUCACACUGUUGCUGCAGACUCUUCUCUUUUUAUUGGAUUCUUAUUUAUAUCCUUCGCUUCACGUCUGACCCACUUUCUCCUCAGAGGUGGGAUCAAUAAGGUUCAUUUUAUUGUAUCUUAUCUGAGAUCUGAGCGAGUAUCAGCCGUACUGUGAGUGCUGUGUAUUUAAUUGGAGUGGAUCGAUGUCGGGCUAAGUGGCGUCUGAUUUGUAUUGUACAGACAUGUUGGACAGAUCAGACAAGCAGAACCUGUUUCCUCAAAUAAACUGUUAACAGCAGGUUUUAGAGAAUCUGUCCAAAAGUACUUUUCUGAAUCUCUGUUCAACUGAGUGAACUUUUAAUUGUCACAGCUGCAGAAGCAUUGGCUAAAUGCUAAAAUGAACGUGUGUCUAUUAAACGUAAUUCAACCACUGAAGCCAGUUAGCUGAUGUUCUUGAUAGUUAUACAUUUCUGAAUGGACAAACCCAAAUGUAACAAAGGUUUUGAUAUCAUUUCCUGUGAAUACUUCCUCAGAGAUGAGUUUUUCUGAUCCUGGAUCCUACACUGGUCCUUUUUAAAAGAAACUAACCUUGGUAGAAGUCAGGAUGUGAACUGUGGUUGCUGGGGUCAAAGUCGGAGAGGUCAGGUCGAUCUUGGUUAUUAAUAAAAAUGUCAAAAAAAAUGUAUAAAAUGUCAGGAAAUAAAAUGACAAGACGCCAUUGAACAGUCCAAAACCAGAAAAUACUCACUUUCACAUCGGAUAAAGUAGAGCCAGAUAUGUUUUGACAUGUUUCUCUUUAUAAAUAACUUUAGAAAUGAUAAGAUUAUCCAGAUAUGUGUUGAUAAAAUUCUCUGCCUUUUAACCAAUUCAUUGACGUGAUGUCCACCGUGAUCCAUCAAUACCUUCAAAUCUAACUGAAUGUACCUCUUCUGUUGCCGUACACCGUUUACAGCUCGAGCAGGGCCGAAGCGUCUGACAAAUGAUUUCCUGCUUUACAGAAAGUCUGUCCUUUGAAUCAUCGGCCCUCACUCUUCCUGAAUUAUACAUAGUUAAGCUCAGUGAUUACAGCAGAUUGCCUUACAAUUGCCUGUCAAGCGGAGCGCCAUCGACUGUCCUAGAUUCACAAAUUCUCCCUCGAGUGUCUCUCCUGGGACGGAGGGCGCUUACUCGUCGCCAACUUGCUUCUGUUUAAGAGGUUUAUAGGCUGAGAAGUGACAGAAAUUCAUCGAGAGUGAAACUAUUUUCAGCGCUUUUCAAGUCGGGGCGGCGCAAUCAUAGGCUGCGCUGGGGACUGUUGUCACGAAAUCUUAAGUGGAGGUUAUUUUUGGUGUGAAAUUAACAAGGUUUGUUGUUUUUGUCAGUCUGAGGGAGAGAGGAGGUAGGAACAGAGACAAAGUCGUCUCAGGUAAACCUCUUAUGGUAAAAGUUUCUAAUCUCGCCACGCAGGACGACAUCUAAAACCUGCAGAAUUUAUGUCGGCUGUGUGCACGACGCAGCUCUUUCUGCUGGAUGUUUCUAAU